AGCGAACGCUGGCGGCAGGCUUAACACAUGCAAGUCGAGCGGGCAUCCUUGUGGUGUCAGCGGCAGACGGGUGAGUAACGCGUGGGAACGUGCCCUUCGGUUCGGAAUAACUCAGGGAAACUUGAGCUAAUACCGCAUACGUGCGAGAGCAGAAAGGUUUAUCUGCCGAAGGAUCGGCGCGCGUCUGAUUAGCUAGUUGGUGAGGUUAUGGCUCACCAAGGCGACGAUCAGUAGCUGGUCUGAGAGGAUGAUCAGCCACACUGGGACUGAGACACGGCCCAGACUCCUACGGAAGGCAGCAGUGGGGAAUAUUGGACAAUGGGGGCAACCCUGAUCCAGCCAUGCCGCGUGAGUGAUGACGGCCUUAGGGUUGUAAAGCUCUUUUCUCCGGGACGAUAAUGACGGUACCGGAGGAAUAAGCCCCGGCUAACUUCGUG
RNAcentral lists this ribosomal RNA (437 nucleotides) under uncultured bacterium. RNAcentral describes it as "partial 16S ribosomal RNA". It matches the Rfam family "Bacterial small subunit ribosomal RNA", at positions 29 to 507 of the family's 1533-position model. The record is from RNAcentral.